RNAcentral lists this ribosomal RNA (383 nucleotides) under Eunatalis sp. 2 NLG-2013. RNAcentral's name for it is "partial 12S ribosomal RNA". The record is from RNAcentral. Lineage: Eukaryota; Metazoa; Arthropoda; Insecta; Coleoptera; Cleridae.
UAAAAUUAAAAAAUUUGGCGGUAUUUUAGUCUUUUCAGAGGAACCUGUUCUAUAAUUGAUAGUCCACGAUUAAUUGUACUUUUUCUAUAAAUUUGUAUAUCGUCGUAGUUUGAAUGUUUUUAAAGAAUUUUUAAUAUUCAAGAUUUUAUAUAUUAAAGUAAAUCAGAUCAAGGUGUAGUUUAUGGGAAAGUAGAAAUGGGUUACAGUUAAGUAAUUAUUGGAUAUUUUUAUGAAAUUGAAAAUUAAAAUUGGAUUUGAAAGUAAUUUUAAUAAUUUUUUUAAUGUGACUUAAGCUCUAAAAUAUGCACAUAUUGCCCGUCGCUUUUGUUUUAAGAUGAAAUAAGUCGUAACAAAGUAGAUUUACUGGAAAGUGAAUCUAGAAG